Molecule: ribosomal RNA, 16 nt
Filed under: Neoheterandria elegans
Lineage: Eukaryota; Metazoa; Chordata; Actinopteri; Cyprinodontiformes; Poeciliidae
Description: partial 16S ribosomal RNA
Source: RNAcentral
CACCCAACAGCUAGCC